This 229-nucleotide unclassified non-coding RNA is filed under the name plant metagenome. RNAcentral's name for it is "partial contains small subunit ribosomal RNA, internal transcribed spacer 1, and 5.8S ribosomal RNA". The record is from RNAcentral.
UCUCCGUAGGUGAACCUGCGGAGGGAUCAUUACAGUGUUCUCGCCCCUCUGGGUUGAUCUCACACCCACUGUGAUUCAUACUGUGCUGCCUUGGCUGUCGGCCGCGUCCUGCCCGUCCGCCGGCAUCGGCUGGCGCGCGCCCGCCAGAUGCCCCGGAAUCACUGAAUGUCAGCUCCGUCUGAGUACUAUAAAAUAGUUACAACUUUCAACAACGGAUCUCUUGGUUCUG